GGGGACGUUUAUGGAUUCGACAGGGGUCCCCCGAGCUCAUGAAGCGUGUCGGAGGGUUGUCUUCGUUACCAACACAUCAGUUUAUAAUAACUGGCAAAACUAACAAUAAUUUCGCAGUAGCUGCCUAAUUGCACUCUGCAUCACCUAACAGCAUCGCCUAUGUGCUGUUAACGUGAUUCAACUUUAGUAGGAUACACUCGUCACUGCCGUUUGAAGUCUGGCGAGAAGAGAUGAAUCAAACUAGCAUCAUGUUGGCUGUCUAUCGCCUUGCAUGAUGUGAAAUUGAACGAUAGACUACACACGUAGAAACAUUUGUAUCAGGACCUUUGGACGCGGGUUCAAAUCCCGCCGUCUCCACUA
This 360-nucleotide transfer-messenger RNA is filed under the name Staphylococcus pseudintermedius. It matches the Rfam family "transfer-messenger RNA". Rfam says of the family: Bacterial tmRNA, also known as 10Sa RNA or SsrA, is named for its dual tRNA and mRNA-like properties. Its role is to liberate the mRNA from a stalled ribosome. Lineage: Bacteria; Bacillati; Bacillota; Bacilli; Caryophanales; Staphylococcaceae. The record is from RNAcentral.